UCGUGUGCCUCUCAGCCAAACAUUGCUCAAAAACCCCAGAGACAGGGAAAUAUUUUUCUGCUUGCAUUGGAAAGUUGGGAAAGACAUCUGAGGCAGAAGGAAAACUCAAGUCUUUACAAGUUCAUUUAUGAUUGGGACAUCAACAAAAACGGGGCCUACUUGAGGAAAGCCUUAGGAUUUCCUGAUGGGGUGAUGCUGAUUCAUGGUUACAGUCCAUCUUUGAAGGAAGUCAUAGCAGGAAAUCAAGGAAGAAAGCUGGAUUCAGGAACUGAAGCAGAAACCAUGGA
Molecule: long non-coding RNA, 287 nt
Filed under: Cricetulus griseus (Chinese hamster)
Lineage: Eukaryota; Metazoa; Chordata; Mammalia; Rodentia; Cricetidae
Description: lncRNA (ENSCGRG00015032374.1)
Source: RNAcentral